GACGAACGCUGGCGGCGUGCCUAAUACAUGCAAGUCGAGCGGACUCGAAGGGAGCUUGCUCCUUUAGGUUAGCGGCGGACGGGUGAGUAACACGUGGGCAACCUGCCCUGCAGACUGGGAUAACUUCGGGAAACCGGAGCUAAUACCGGAUAACACCGAAAACCGCAUGGUUUUCGGUUGAAAGGCGGCUUUUAGCUGUCACUGCAGGAUGGGCCCGCGGCGCAUUAGCUAGUUGGUGAGGUAACGGCUCACCAAGGCGACGAUGCGUAGCCGACCUGAGAGGGUGACCGGCCACACUGGGACUGAGACACGGCCCAGACUCCUACGGGAGGCAGCAGUAGGGAAUCUUCCGCAAUGGACGAAAGUCUGACGGAGCAACGCCGCGUGAGCGAAGAAGGUCUUCGGAUCGUAAAGCUCUGUUGUCAGGGAAGAACAAGUACCGUUCGAACAGGGCGGUACCUUGACGGUACCUGACGAGGAAGCCACGGCUAACUACGUGCCAGCAGCCGCGGUAAUACGUAGGUGGCAAGCGUUGUCCGGAAUUAUUGGGCGUAAAGCGCGCGCAGGCGGUUCCUUAAGUCUGAUGUGAAAUCUCGCGGCUCAACCGCGAGCGGCCAUUGGAAACUGGGGAACUUGAGUGCAGGAGAGGGGAGCGGAAUUCCACGUGUAGCGGUGAAAUGCGUAGAGAUGUGGAGGAACACCAGUGGCGAAGGCGGCUCUCUGGCCUGUAACUGACGCUGAG
RNAcentral lists this ribosomal RNA (742 nucleotides) under bacterium IMCC8597. Its description in RNAcentral is "bacterial SSU rRNA". It matches the Rfam family "Bacterial small subunit ribosomal RNA", at positions 28 to 750 of the family's 1533-position model. The record is from RNAcentral.